CAUGUGAUAUUCGGAUUUUGUUUUUGUGAGAGGUCACUCAGUAUUAUAGACUCUAGUUCCAUCCAGGUUGCAGCGAAAUUCAUGAUUUUGUUCUUUUUUAUGGCUGCAUAGUAUUCCAUCGCGUAUAUGUACCACAUUUUUUUAAUCCAGUCCUCUUUUGAUGGGCAGCAUGGUUGUUUCCAGGUUCUUGCUAUUGUGAACAAUGCUGCGAUAAACCCCGCCUCGGCCGGCGCCUAGCAGCCGACUUAGAACUGGUGCGGACCAGGGGAAUCCGACUGUUUAAUUAAAACAGAGCAUCGCGAAGGCCCGCGGCGGGUGUUGACGCGAUGUGAUUUCUGCCCAGUGCUCUGAAUGUCAAAGUGAAGAAAUUCAAUGAAGGGCGUGUAAACGGCGGGAGUAACUAUGAAAUAGGAAUUUAGAAUAAGAAUUUAGAAUAAGAAAUUAAUGUUUUCUUUUG
Molecule: non-coding RNA, 457 nt
Filed under: Carlito syrichta (Philippine tarsier)
Lineage: Eukaryota; Metazoa; Chordata; Mammalia; Primates; Tarsiidae
Description: Eukaryotic large subunit ribosomal RNA
Rfam family: Eukaryotic large subunit ribosomal RNA
Source: Rfam by way of RNAcentral